UGGUGCAUGGUUGUCGUCAGCUCGUGUCGUGAGAUGUUGGUUAAGUCCCGCAACGAGCGCAACCCCUACGUUUAGUUGCUAACGCGUGAAGGCGAGCACUCUAGACGAACUGCCGUUGACAAAACGGAGGAAGGUGGGGAUGACGUCAAAUCAUCAUGCCCCUUAUGUUCUGGGCUACACACGUGCUACAAUGGCCGGUACAGACGGACGCAAAGCCGCGAGGUGGAGCAAAUCUCAGAAAACCGGUCUCAGUUCGGAUUGGAGUCUGCAACUCGACUCCAUGAAGUUGGAAUCGCUAGUAACCGCGAAUCAGCAGGUCGCGGUGAAUACGUUCCCGGGCCUU
RNAcentral lists this ribosomal RNA (343 nucleotides) under uncultured Pelotomaculum sp. RNAcentral's name for it is "bacterial SSU rRNA". It matches the Rfam family "Bacterial small subunit ribosomal RNA", at positions 1039 to 1382 of the family's 1533-position model. Lineage: Bacteria; Bacillati; Bacillota; Clostridia; Eubacteriales; Desulfotomaculaceae. The record is from RNAcentral.